Molecule: ribosomal RNA, 460 nt
Filed under: uncultured bacterium
Lineage: Bacteria
Description: partial 16S ribosomal RNA
Rfam family: Bacterial small subunit ribosomal RNA
Source: RNAcentral
CCUACGGGAGGCAGCAGUGAGGAAUAUUGGUCAAUGGACGAGAGUCUGAACCAGCCAAGUAGCGUGAAGGAUGACUGCCCUAUGGGUUGUAAACUUCUUUUAUAUGGGAAUAAAAUGUUCCACGUGUGGGAUUUUGUAUGUACCAUAUGAAUAGGGAUCGGCUAACUCCGUGCCAGCAGCCGCGGUAAUACGGAGGAUCCGAGCGUUAUCCGGAUUUAUUGGGUUUAAAGGGAGCGUAGGUGGAUUGUUAAGUCAGUUGUGAAAGUUUGCGGCUCAACCGGAAAAUUGCAGUUGAAACUGGCAGUCUUGAGUACAGUAGAGGUGGGCGGAAUUCGUGGUGUAGCGGUGAAAUGCUUAGAUAUCACGAAGAACUCCGAUUGCGAAGGCAGUUCACUGGACUGCAACUGACACUGAGGCUCGAAAGUGUGGGUAUCAAACAGGAUUAGAUACCCCAGUAGUC